GACGAACGCUGGCGGCGUGCUUAACACAUGCAAGUCGAACGAAGAGCGAUGGAAGCUUGCUUCUAUCAAUCUUAGUGGCGAACGGGUGAGUAACGCGUAAUCAACCUGCCCUUCAGAGGGGGACAACAGUUGGAAACGACUGCUAAUGCCGCAUACGAUCUGACCUCGGCAUCGAGGAUAGAUGAAAGGUGGCCUCUAUUUAUAAGCUAUCACUGAAGGAGGGGAUUGCGUCUGAUUAGCUAGUUGGAGGGGUAACGGCCCACCAAGGCGAUGAUCAGUAGCCGGUCUGAGAGGAUGAACGGCCACAUUGGGACUGAGACACGGCCCAGACUCCUACGGGAGGCAGCAGUGGGGAAUCUUCCGCAAUGGACGAAAGUCUGACGGAGCAACGCCGCGUGAGUGAUGACGGCCUUCGGGUUGUAAGGCUCUGUUAAUCGGGACGAAAGGCCUUCUUGCGAAUAGUUAGAAGGAUUGACGGUACCGGAAUAGAAAGCCACGGCUAACUACGUG
Molecule: ribosomal RNA, 510 nt
Filed under: uncultured bacterium
Lineage: Bacteria
Description: partial 16S ribosomal RNA
Rfam family: Bacterial small subunit ribosomal RNA
Source: RNAcentral